This 612-nucleotide ribosomal RNA is filed under the name Triticum aestivum (bread wheat). RNAcentral describes it as "partial small subunit ribosomal RNA". The record is from RNAcentral. Lineage: Eukaryota; Viridiplantae; Streptophyta; Magnoliopsida; Poales; Poaceae.
AUGGCAACAAUGGCGCCGACCUCCAUCGUCUUCUCCGUGGUCGUCUUCCUGCUCCUUUCCAAUGCCAUCACCACUCAAGCCGGCGGCUCUGGCAGUGGCAAACCUAAGGCAACAAGCCUCAUAGUGGAAGCGUGCAAGAACGCCUCAGGCGAGAGCCAAGACACCGGUGUCACAAAGGAAUUCUGUUUGUCGACCCUCCAGUUGGACAGUCGGAGCGCCAAGGCUAAAGACCUCUGUGACUUGGUGGUCAUCUCGAUUGACAUCCUGAAGGGCCGUGUCAGUGAUGCUGGCGUCAAGGUAAAGAAAAUGCUGCAAAACGCCAAGAAAGGCACGCUGACAAUGUAUGCUCUCAGCAUUUGUGAGUUGCAAUAUGAGAAGGUGGUGAGCACGCUCAACGUCUGCCAAGCUAUGAUUAGGGAUCACCAAGGUGACAAGGGCGACCUGAAGUCAUUGGGUCUACUCCAUUGUGUGGAUAUGACCGGUGAGACAAUCAAAGAGUGCGAAAAUGAGCUUGGAGAUGUGCGAGGGGCGGAGGCGCUGCUUCGUGAAAACGAGGGGUUGCGCAUUCUGGCCAACCUAAACAGAGCCUUGGUUGCACCGUAUGAUGUCUAA